AACGAACGCUGGCGGCAUGCCUAACACAUGCAAGUCGAACGAGACGUUCGGGUCUAGUGUCGCACGGGUGCGUAACGCGUGGGAACCUGCCCUUAGGUUCGGAAUAACUCCCCGAAAGGGGUGCUAAUACCGGAUAAUGUCUUCGGACCAAAGAUUUAUCGCCCUUGGAUGGGCCCGCGUUGGAUUAGCUAGUUGGUAGGGUAAAAGCCUACCAAGGCGACGAUCCAUAGCUGGUCUGAGAGGAUGAUCAGCCACACUGGGACUGAGACACGGCCCAGACUCUUACGGGAGGCAGCAGUGGGGAAGAUUGGACAAUGGGCGAAAGCUUGAUCCAGCAAUGCCGCGGGAGGGAUGAAGGCCUUAGGGUUGUAAAGCUCUUUUGCCCGGAAGGAUGAUGACAGUACCGGGAGAAUAAGCUCCGGCUAACUCCGUG
This 433-nucleotide ribosomal RNA is filed under the name uncultured bacterium. RNAcentral's name for it is "partial 16S ribosomal RNA". It matches the Rfam family "Bacterial small subunit ribosomal RNA", at positions 29 to 507 of the family's 1533-position model. The record is from RNAcentral.